This 440-nucleotide ribosomal RNA is filed under the name uncultured bacterium. Its description in RNAcentral is "partial 16S ribosomal RNA". It matches the Rfam family "Bacterial small subunit ribosomal RNA", at positions 338 to 795 of the family's 1533-position model. The record is from RNAcentral.
CCUACGGGAGGCAGCAGUGGGGAAUAUUGCACAAUGGGGGAAACCCUGAUGCAGCGACGCCGCGUGAGUGAAGAAGUAAUUCGUUAUGUAAAGCUCUAUCAGCAGGGAAGAAAAUGACGGUGCCUGAGUAAGAAGUCCCGGCUAACUACGUGCCAGCAGCCGCGGUAAUACGUAGGGGGCAAGCGUUAUCCGGAUUUACUGGGUGGAAAGGGAGCGUAGACGGCAGUGCAAGUCUGGAUUGAAAGGCGGGGGCUCAACCCCCGGACUGCUCUGGAAACUGUACGGCUGGAGUGCAGGAGAGGUAAGUGGAAUUCCUAGUGUAGCGGUGAAAUGCGUAGAUAUUAGGAGGAACACCAGUGGCGAAGGCGGCUUACUGGACUGUAACUGACGUUGAGGCUCGAAAGCGUGGGGAGCAAACAGGAUUAGAUACCCGGGUAGUC